AUUUACCACAAGGGGAGCCGAAAUGGUCGGCUGAGAGUGAACCCAAAGUUCUAACCCUUUGAACCUGUAAGUUAAUGCUUGCGUAGGAAUGUGGAUAGAAACCGAC
Molecule: regulatory RNA element, 106 nt
Organism: Viridibacillus arenosi FSL R5-213
Lineage: Bacteria; Bacillati; Bacillota; Bacilli; Caryophanales; Caryophanaceae
Rfam family: TPP riboswitch aptamer (THI element)
About the family: Vitamin B(1) in its active form thiamin pyrophosphate (TPP) is an essential coenzyme that is synthesised by coupling of pyrimidine and thiazole moieties in bacteria. The previously detected thiamin-regulatory element, thi box was extended, resulting in a new, highly conserved RNA secondary structure, the THI element, which is widely distributed in eubacteria and also occurs in some archaea. Analysis of operon structures identified a large number of new candidate thiamin-regulated genes, mostly transporters, in various prokaryotic organisms.
Source: Rfam